This 460-nucleotide ribosomal RNA is filed under the name uncultured bacterium. RNAcentral describes it as "partial 16S ribosomal RNA". It matches the Rfam family "Bacterial small subunit ribosomal RNA", at positions 338 to 795 of the family's 1533-position model. The record is from RNAcentral.
CCUACGGGAGGCAGCAAUGAGGAAUAUUGGUCAAUGGACGCAAGUCUGAACCAGCCAUGCCGCGUGCAGGAAGACGGCUCUAUGAGUUGUAAACUGCUUUUGUACGAGGGUAAACGCAGAUACGCGUAUCUGUCUGAAAGUAUCGUACGAAUAAGGAUCGGCUAACUCCGUGCCAGCAGCCGCGGUAAUACGGAGGAUUCAAGCGUUAUCCGGAUUUAUUGGGUUUAAAGGGUGCGUAGGCGGUCGGAUAAGUUAGAGGUGAAAUCCCGAGGCUCAACUUCGGAAUUGCCUCUGAUACUGUUCGGCGAGAGAGUAGUUGCGGUAGGCGGAAUGUAUGGUGUAGCGGUGAAAUGCUUAGAGAUCAUACAGAACACCGAGUGCGAAGGCAGCUUACCAAGCUACUUCUGACGUUGAGGCACGAAAGCGUGGGGAGCAAACAGGAUUAGAUACCCUAGUAGUC